GUCGGGGUCUCAUGCGAUGGGAAUCUGUGAACCGUGUCAGGGUAGGAAUACAGCAGCACUAAGCAGACACUCUCAUGUGCCAUGAAUAACUCCGGCGCC
Molecule: signal recognition particle RNA, 99 nt
Filed under: Eubacteriales bacterium
Lineage: Bacteria; Bacillati; Bacillota; Clostridia; Eubacteriales
Description: signal recognition particle sRNA small type
Rfam family: Bacterial small signal recognition particle RNA
About the family: The signal recognition particle (SRP) is a universally conserved ribonucleoprotein involved in the co-translational targeting of proteins to membranes. Archaeal SRP consists of a 7S RNA and homologues of the eukaryotic SRP19 and SRP54 proteins.
Source: RNAcentral